Molecule: unclassified non-coding RNA, 216 nt
Filed under: Hevea brasiliensis (rubber tree)
Lineage: Eukaryota; Viridiplantae; Streptophyta; Magnoliopsida; Malpighiales; Euphorbiaceae
Source: RNAcentral
GCAACAUCAUGGGGUAUGCUGACUCAUGGAAAGACGGGGAAGGAAGGAGAAACUAACCAAAAAAAAUACUGGACUAACAAGCUUCUUGUAUAUCUAUCUCACUAUCUGUAUUUAGUACUCUGUAUAAUGAGACGGGUAUCCGCCAUAUAGUCGUCGGUGUAUGUAUUGACCGACCUAGUUUUUGUUUCGACUCUACUUUCAUUGUUUCGGCUAACU